RNAcentral lists this ribosomal RNA (301 nucleotides) under uncultured bacterium. RNAcentral describes it as "partial 16S ribosomal RNA". It matches the Rfam family "Bacterial small subunit ribosomal RNA", at positions 509 to 807 of the family's 1533-position model. The record is from RNAcentral.
CAGUCGCCGCGGGAAUACGUAGGUGGCAAGCGUUGUCCGGAAUUAUUGGGCGUAAAGGGCUCGCAGGCGGUUUCUUAAGUCUGAUGUGAAAGCCCCCGGCUCAACCGGGGAGGGUCAUUGGAAACUGGGAAACUUGAGUGCAGAAGAGGAGAGUGGAAUUCCACGUGUAGCGGUGAAAUGCGUAGAGAUGUGGAGGAACACCAGUGGCGAAGGCGACUCUCUGGUCUGUAACUGACGCUGAGGAGCGAAAGCGUGGGGAGCGAACAGGAUUAGAUACCCCUGUAGUCCUUGUCUCUUAUAC